GAUGAACGCUGGCGGCGUGCCUAAUACAUGCAAGUCGAGCGAACAGAUGAGGAGCUUGCUCCUCUGACGUUAGCGGCGGACGGGUGAGUAACACGUGGAUAACCUACCUAUAAGACUGGGAUAACUUCGGGAAACCGGAGCUAAUACCGGAUAAUAUAUUGAACCGCAUGGUUCAAUAGUGAAAGACGGUUUUGCUGUCACUUAUAGAUGGAUCCGCGCCGCAUUAGCUAGUUGGUAAGGUAACGGCUUACCAAGGCAACGAUGCAUAGCCGACCUGAGAGGGUGAUCGGCCACACUGGAACUGAGACACGGUCCAGACUCCUACGGGAGGCAGCAGUAGGGAAUCUUCCGCAAUGGGCGAAAGCGUGACGGAGCAACGCCGCGUGAGUGAUGAAGGUCUUCGGAUCGUAAAACUCUGUUAUUAGGGAAGAACAAAUGUGUAAGUAACUACGCACGUCUUGACGGUACCUAAUCAGAAAGCCACGGCUAACUACGUG
RNAcentral lists this ribosomal RNA (497 nucleotides) under uncultured bacterium. RNAcentral describes it as "partial 16S ribosomal RNA". It matches the Rfam family "Bacterial small subunit ribosomal RNA", at positions 28 to 507 of the family's 1533-position model. The record is from RNAcentral.